RNAcentral lists this ribosomal RNA (1372 nucleotides) under uncultured bacterium. RNAcentral describes it as "bacterial SSU rRNA". It matches the Rfam family "Bacterial small subunit ribosomal RNA", at positions 28 to 1381 of the family's 1533-position model. The record is from RNAcentral.
GAUGAACGCUGGCGGCGUGCCUAAUACAUGCAAGUCGAGCGAACGGACGAGAAGCUUGCUUUUCUGAUGUUAGCGGCGGACGGGUGAGUAACACGUGGAUAACCUACCUAUAAGACUGGGAUAACUUCGGGAAACCGGAGCUAAUACCGGAUAAUAUUUUGAACCGCAUGGUUCAAAAGUGAAAGACGGUCUUGCUGUCACUUAUAGAUGGAUCCGCGCUGCAUUAGCUAGUUGGUAAGGUAACGGCUUACCAAGGCAACGAUGCAUAGCCGACCUGAGAGGGUGGUCGGCCACACUGGAACUGAGACACGGUCCAGACUCCUACGGGAGGCAGCAGUAGGGAAUCUUCCGCAAUGGGCGAAAGCCUGACGGAGCAACGCCGCGUGAGUGAUGAAGGUCUUCGGAUCGUAAAACUCUGUUAUUAGGGAAGAACAUAUGUGUAAGUAACUGUGCACAUCUUGACGGUACCUAAUCAGAAAGCCACGGCUAACUACGUGCCAGCAGCCGCGGUAAUACGUAGGUGGCAAGCGUUAUCCGGAAUUAUUGGGCGUAAAGCGCGCGUAGGCGGUUUUUUAAGUCUGAUGUGAAAGCCCACGGCUCAACCGUGGAGGGUCAUUGGAAACUGGAAAACUUGAGUGCAGAAGAGGAAAGUGGAAUUCCAUGUGUAGCGGUGAAAUGCGCAGAGAUGUGGAGGAACACCAGUGGCGAAGGCGACUUUCUGGUCUGUAACUGACGCUGAUGUGCGAAAGCGUGGGGAUCAAACAGGAUUAGAUACCCUGGUAGUCCACGCCGUAAACGAUGAGUGCUAAGUGUUAGGGGGUUUCCGCCCCUUAGUGCUGCAGCUAACGCAUUAAGCACUCCGCCUGGGGAGUACGACCGCAAGGUUGAAACUCAAAGGAAUUGACGGGGGCCCGCACAAGCGGUGGAGCAUGUGGUUUAAUUCGAAGCAACGCGAAGAACCUUACCAAAUCUUGACAUCCUUUGACAACUCUAGAGAUAGAGCCUUCCCCUUCGGGGGACAAAGUGACAGGUGGUGCAUGGUUGUCGUCAGCUCGUGUCGUGAGAUGUUGGGUUAAGUCCCGCAACGAGCGCAACCCUUAAGCUUAGUUGCCAUCAUUAAGUUGGGCACUCUAAGUUGACUGCCGGUGACAAACCGGAGGAAGGUGGGGAUGACGUCAAAUCACCAUGCCCCUUAUGAUUUGGGCUACACACGUGCUACAAUGGACAAUACAAAGGGCAGCGAAACCGCGAGGUCAAGCAAAUCCCAUAAAGUUGUUCUCAGUUCGGAUUGUAGUCUGCAACUCGACUACAUGAAGCUGGAAUCGCUAGUAAUCGUAGAUCAGCAUGCUACGGUGAAUACGUUCCCGGGUCU